RNAcentral lists this ribosomal RNA (253 nucleotides) under uncultured bacterium. Its description in RNAcentral is "partial 16S ribosomal RNA". It matches the Rfam family "Bacterial small subunit ribosomal RNA", at positions 524 to 776 of the family's 1533-position model. The record is from RNAcentral.
UACGAAGGGGGCUAGCGUUGCUCGGAAUCACUGGGCGUAAAGCGCCCGUAGGCGGAUUGUUAAGUCAGGGGUGAAAUCCUGGAGCUCAACUCCAGAACUGCCUUUGAUACUGGCGAUCUCGAGUCCGGGAGAGGUGAGUGGAACUGCGAGUGUAGAGGUGAAAUUCGUAGAUAUUCGCAAGAACACCAGUGGCGAAGGCGGCUCACUGGCCCGGUACUGACGCUGAGGUGCGAAAGCGUGGGGAGCAAACAGG